GUGACACAUAUAACAUACAUCACGUAAGUCUUUAAGAAAACUAUUAUUUGACUGAUUUUCUCAUGCUGGCUUGACAUGUGCCUCUUAUCACAAGUAGCUGGAGUGCAAGAAAGGCAGAUACCUGAGUCAAAAAAGAUCAUCACCACAAACAAUAUCCUAGAGGACCUUACACCAGGAAGGCAUGAAUGUGUAUACCAUGAAAUAACAAAUUUUCACUUCCUGGAAGAUUUGAAGGAAGAAUAAAGCCAACCACAACAAUAAUUCAGUUUUCUAAUUGAAUCAGAACUGAGAACAACAGUGGACAUUGAGAUAAAAUUGAUUUCAUGUUGACUACUUUUGGAGAAGAAAGAGCUACCUGAGGCAAGCUCGACUUAAACUGUGUGUACGGUUCUAUGGCGAUCAUGGAGAAGAUCAUCAGGGUGGUGAUCCACAGGGAGAUUCAAGAUCACAUAGGCGGAGCAGGA
Molecule: long non-coding RNA, 464 nt
Filed under: Heterocephalus glaber (naked mole-rat)
Lineage: Eukaryota; Metazoa; Chordata; Mammalia; Rodentia; Bathyergidae
Description: lncRNA (ENSHGLG00100052096.1)
Source: RNAcentral